AACAUCAGGGACACCAGUAGCGUCUUCUGCGGCUGUAGCGUCCCGGGUAGCCCCAGAUGGCCCUGGGGAGAGUCCCGGUCUCAAACUGCUACUGGGCACAGGGAGCAAGAGCCUGCGAGACUGUGCCUCCAGGUCAGGUCUAGAUUUGGGCUCCCGGCAGUGGAAGAGCCAGCUCCCUGGCCAGGAGGCGGGGAAGGGCCAGUCACUGCCGCCUCUUGGAAAAUCCUUGCUGCGCUGUGACCGGCUUGCACACUCGGCAGCCGCCUCUCCGCUUCAUGCACCCUCCGGUAAUGAAAAGUAUUUAGUAAUAGCCUUUUGCUGCAACUUUUUUCCUGAUAAUCCUUCUUCUUCUGAACUUUCUUUUUCUUUCUGACUAGAGUUCCUGGGUUCUUAUCAACACAUGCCCUAACUAUUCUUGGUUCCACUGGGGUGCUUCCUUCCCUUAGUAAUUUACUUUUCACCCCUUCCAUAUUUUCAGCACAAAAACAAUACAAUACACUGAGACAAAACAAGACACAAACAUACUGUAUCAAUCUUUUCCAUUUUCUUGAAAUGACCAUUUUUCCUCUCGCCGUAUCUGCCUAGGGAUGAGCAGAUUUGCUCCCGUCCUAUCUAUGGACGGGCAGCUUUUUUUUUUUGUCACUUACCCCCGAGUGUCCCGGGGCUCCCGGUACGGGCCACCAUCUGCUGCAGCAGAAUAAUCAGGGGGGGUGACGAAGAACUUGUGUACGUUGAUACAGCAGGAGUGGAAGCCCUUUAUUAUUGGACAGGAGCAGUAUUUAUACAUUCCAC
This 792-nucleotide long non-coding RNA is filed under the name Marmota monax (woodchuck). The record is from RNAcentral. Lineage: Eukaryota; Metazoa; Chordata; Mammalia; Rodentia; Sciuridae.